This 429-nucleotide ribosomal RNA is filed under the name uncultured bacterium. Its description in RNAcentral is "bacterial SSU rRNA". It matches the Rfam family "Bacterial small subunit ribosomal RNA", at positions 1 to 489 of the family's 1533-position model. The record is from RNAcentral.
CGGCCGCGUCGACGUUUGAUCCUGGCUCAGGACGAACGCUGGCGGCGUGCUUAACACAUGCAAGUCGAACGGGGUGUUUAUUUCGGUAAACACCAAGUGGCGAACGGGUGAGUAACGCGUAAGCAAUCUACCUUCAAGAUGGGGACAACACUUCGAAAGGGGUGCUAAUACCGAAUGAAUGUAAGAGUAUCGCAUGAGACACUUACUAAAGGAGGCCUCUGACAUAAGCUUCCGCUUGAAGAUGAGCUUGCGUCUGAUUAGCUAGUUGGUGAGGGUAAAGGCCCACCAAGGCGACGAUCAGUAGCCGGUCUGAGAGGAUGAACGGCCACAUUGGGACUGAGACACGGGUCGACGCGUGAAGGAAGAAGUAUCUCGGUAUGUAAACUUCUAUCAGCAGGGGGGGGGAAAAUGACGGUACCUGACUAAGAA